AGCCUUUUGAGUUAGUGGUGAGAUUUUGUCGGACACCAGCCUAUUAGGACUGAUGAGACUCUAAAGAUAAUAAAAAGCG
Schistosoma mansoni is the source of this 79-nucleotide microRNA precursor. It matches the Rfam family "mir-3492 microRNA precursor family". NCBI's taxonomy places the organism in Eukaryota, Metazoa, Platyhelminthes, Trematoda, Strigeidida, Schistosomatidae. The record is from Rfam.